CCUACGGGAGGCAGCAGUAGGGAAUAUUGCUCAAUGGGGGAAACCCUGAAGCAGCAACGCCGCGUGGAGGACGAAGGUUUUCGGAUUGUAAACUCCUUUUGUUAGAGAAGAUAAUGACGAUAUCUAACGAAUAAGCACCGGCUAACUCCGUGCCAGCAGCCGCGGUAAUACGGAGGGUGCAAGCGUUACUCGGAAUCACUGGGCGUAAAGAGCGCGUAGGCGGGGUAGCAAGUCAGAUGUGAAAUCCUAGGGCUUAACCAUAGAAAUGCAUUUGAAACUGUUAUUCUAGAGUAUGGGAGAGGUAGGUGGAAUGCUUGGUGUAGGGGUAAAAUCCGUAGAGAUCAAGAGGAAUACUCAUUGCGAAGGCGACCUGCUAGAACAUAACUGACGCUGAUGCGCGAAAGCGUGGGGAGCAAACAGGAUUAGAUACCCCGGUAGUC
Molecule: ribosomal RNA, 440 nt
Filed under: uncultured bacterium
Lineage: Bacteria
Description: partial 16S ribosomal RNA
Rfam family: Bacterial small subunit ribosomal RNA
Source: RNAcentral